Molecule: ribosomal RNA, 253 nt
Filed under: uncultured bacterium
Lineage: Bacteria
Description: partial 16S ribosomal RNA
Rfam family: Bacterial small subunit ribosomal RNA
Source: RNAcentral
GACAGAGGGGGCAAGCGUUGUUCGGAAUCACUGGGCGUAAAGGGCGCGUAGGCGGGCUGGCAAGUCGGUCGUGAAAUCCUUCGGCUCAACCGGAGAACGUCGGCCGAUACUGCCGUUCUUGAGGGAUGCAGAGGAGAUUGGAAUUCCCGGUGUAGCGGUGAAAUGUGUAGAGAUCGGGAGGAACACCGGUGGCGAAGGCGGGUCUCUGGGCAUCUCCUGACGCUGAGGCGCGAAAGCGUGGGGAGCAAACGGG